RNAcentral lists this ribosomal RNA (253 nucleotides) under uncultured bacterium. RNAcentral's name for it is "partial 16S ribosomal RNA". It matches the Rfam family "Bacterial small subunit ribosomal RNA", at positions 524 to 776 of the family's 1533-position model. The record is from RNAcentral.
UACGGGGGGAGCAAGCGUUGUUCGGAUUUACGGGGCGUAAAGGGCGCGUAGGCGGCGCAACAAGUCACUUGUGAAAUCUCCGGGCUUAACUCGGAGCGGCCAAGUGAUACUGUCGUGCUAGAGUGCGGAAGGGGCUACUGGAAUUCUCGGUGUAGCGGUGAAAUGCGUAGAUAUCGAGAGGAACACCUGCGGCGAAGGCGGGUAGCUGGGCCGACACUGACGCUGAGGCGCGAAAGCUAGGGGAGCGAACGGG